UACGUAGGGUGCGAGCGUUGUCCGGAAUUAUUGGGCGUAAAGAGCUCGUAGGCGGUUUGUUGCGUCGGCUGUGAAAUCCCGAGGCUCAACCUCGGGUCUGCAGUCGAUACGAGCAAACUAGAGUGUUGCAGGGGAGACUGGAAUUCCUGGUGUAGCGGUGAAAUGCGCAGAUAUCAGGAGGAACACCGGUGGCGAAGGCGGUUCUCUGGGCAUUACCUGACGCUGAGGAGCGAAAGUGUGGGGAGCGAACAGG
RNAcentral lists this ribosomal RNA (253 nucleotides) under uncultured bacterium. RNAcentral describes it as "partial 16S ribosomal RNA". It matches the Rfam family "Bacterial small subunit ribosomal RNA", at positions 524 to 776 of the family's 1533-position model. The record is from RNAcentral.